Long non-coding RNA from Equus caballus (horse), 2190 nucleotides. NCBI's taxonomy places the organism in Eukaryota, Metazoa, Chordata, Mammalia, Perissodactyla, Equidae. The record is from Ensembl.
UCACAUUCCAAGAGAACUCAAAAGAACAAAGUUAUCAUCUUACGGCAGCUGGGAGGGGCCAUAAAAUCUACAGAGCCUGCAAAGCCCCUGGAGACAGAUCCUUACUUAUCUAGGCAAACUAAAGCAAAGAUUCAAAGGGCCGGGCUAGUUGAUUCAAGAAUUUGAGUCCUGGGAGUUCUGGUUCAAGAUGGCAACACAGGAAGAUUCUGAACCCGCUUCCUUCCAUGGACACACCAAAUCUAUAGCUACAAAUGGAAAAGUUUCCUCUGAAAAAAACUCCCAAACAAACUGAGUGACUCUCAGAAAUUGGACGAACUAGAAAAAACCCACAUUGAAGUGGGUAGGAGAGGCUGAGAUGCAGUCUCACUGUAAACCUCAUUGCUGGCCCAGGAAUCCGCAAUUGGGAGGAGACUCAAAACCCUGAGAUUCUCUCUGAGGAAUGAAGGAUUUGACCCCCACAUCAGGCACCCUGAUUUUUAAGACCUGCACCUGAGAGAGAAGCCCCAAGACAUCUAUCUUUUAAAGCCAACAGGGCUUGGGUUCAGGGGACCCACAAGGCUAUGGUGAACAGAGAAACAGUUCUCAAAAGGCUCCCCUACACACACUCACUUGCCCCAGGGCCCAGCACAGAGGUAGUCAACUGAAAAGCACCCAGACUUUCUGUGAAAGAGGCUUAUUUGCUUACCUUAAGGCAUCAGCCUAAGGGUCAGGCAUCUAAUUUAAGACACACCUUGGGAGCCUACUGAAAUAUUCUCCAAAGAUGGAGGCUGGCAGGCACUGUCUUUGCACUCUCCCUCUGCCUUGCUUCAGGUCACUGAUAUCUCCUGGAAAGCAGCUUAUAUACUUGUCUGGUGCCCCAGUUUUAGUGUUUGCCACCCAGUGGACACCUCUAGAUUACCUGGCUCUGGUGGCCAGUGGGGCUUACACUUGGGGGUCCCACAGGACUCUAACAAAUGGAGAAAGAGUUGUUAACCAGCUACCACCCAUAGGAUACAGCAGAGAGGCAACAGAUUAAGUCACCCAGUCUUUCUGUGAAAGAGGCCUAUUAGUUUAUCUUCAUAGCUAUUGCCUGAAGGGCAGGCUUCUAAUUAAACACACAUCUAGGGACUCACUACAAUCCUCUCCAAAGACUGAGGAGAACAGUGGGCACCAUAUUUGCACUCUCUCUCUGUACCACCCCAGGUCAUUUGUGUCUCUGAGAAAGGACUUUGUGUGUAAGUGUGGCACCUAGAGGACACAUUCCUUGAAAGCCUGGCUCUGGUGGCCAGUGGGGCUUUUGUUUAUGGGUUCCAUAGUAGCAAAAUAAGAAACAGUUCUUAUGUGGCCAUCACCUCAAACGUCAGCACAGAUGGAGCGGAAAGAAACGCCCAUAUCUCAGUCUUCGCCUGAAAGAUGUACAUGUUUUAUUUUAAAAGCUGCUGCCUGAUGGUCUGGCUUCCAAUCAGCCUGAAUCUAGGUGCUGACUGAGAUCCUCCCCAUUGUACACUGACAGGUCUUGGCACACCCUCAAAUACUGGAAGUCACUAAAAAUAAAAUAGUCUUCCUGGACAAUCACAAAGGUUUAAGAGACAACCAAGAGCUAGGGCAGAGUUAAAUGAAAGAUUCAUCUCCUACAAGAGACCACUCCUUCAAGACUAGGAGAGGUGGCUGUUUUAUCCAAUGCAUAGAAACCAACAGAGAGAGUCAAGGAAAAUUAAAAAACAACAACAACCCAAUAUGUUGCAAAUGAAAAAACAAGAUAAAACCUCAGUAAAAGACCAUAAUGAAAUAGAGAUAAGUGUUUUACUGGAUAAAGAGUUAAAAUAACAGUAAUAAACAUUCUCACUGAGCUCAGGAGAAGAUUGGAUAAACAAAGUAAGAAUUUCAACAGAGAGAUCGGAAAUAUAAGAAAAUACCAAAUAGAAGUCACAGAACUAAUGAAUACAAUAACAUCUGAAAAAUACAAUAAAGGGACUCAAUAAAAGACUAGAUGAUGAAGAAAGGAAACCUAUCUUGAAGACAGGGCAGUGGAACUCACCCAGUCAGAGCAACAAAAAGAAAAAAGAGUGAAAAUUGCUUAAGGGAAUUAUGGGACAACAUUAAGUGGAUCAACAUUCACAUUAUAGGGGUCCCAGAGGAAAAAAGAGAAGGAAAGAGGCCAAAAACUUCUUUGAAGAAAGAAUGGCAGAAAACUUCCCUAACCUGGGAAAG